AGCAGCAAAAAUAAAUAAAUUAAAAUAUUUUUAAUUUAUUUACAUACCAGAUCUGAUCUGAAAAUCAUAAUAAGAAUCUUGAUACGAAUAUAUAACCCAGAUCUAAAAUUUGAAAUAAAAAAUAAAUAAUUAAAAAAAUCAAACGGAGAUCAAAUCUCUAAACCUCGGAUCCUGCGGAUAUCCUAGAUUCUGAUCGUAGCCGUGCAUGCACCUGACCUC
Molecule: long non-coding RNA, 219 nt
Filed under: Elaeis guineensis (African oil palm)
Lineage: Eukaryota; Viridiplantae; Streptophyta; Magnoliopsida; Arecales; Arecaceae
Description: long non-coding RNA (EGUI_LNC020310)
Source: RNAcentral